UACGUAGGGUGCGAGCGUUGUCCGGAAUUACUGGGCGUAAAGAGCUCGUAGGUGGUUUGUCGCGUCGUCUGUGAAAUUCCGGGGCUUAACUUCGGGCGUGCAGGCGAUACGGGCAUAACUUGAGUGCUGUAGGGGAGACUGGAAUUCCUGGUGUAGCGGUGAAAUGCGCAGAUAUCAGGAGGAACACCGAUGGCGAAGGCAGGUCUCUGGGCAGUUACUGACGCUGAGGAGCGAAAGCAUGGGUAGCAAA
RNAcentral lists this ribosomal RNA (250 nucleotides) under uncultured bacterium. RNAcentral describes it as "partial 16S ribosomal RNA". It matches the Rfam family "Bacterial small subunit ribosomal RNA", at positions 524 to 772 of the family's 1533-position model. The record is from RNAcentral. RNAcentral also lists the same sequence under 1 other name.